UCACGUUUGAGCUACCUCCUUCAAUUCCCCCAACCUUCUCUUCUAUUCUGCCUCCUUCUCUCCAUUGAUAUUUUCCAUAAUCAAAUAUUGGGUUUGCCCAAAUUACAAAUCAGAUAUAAUUUGAAAAUUUAUCUUCAUAUUCUGGUCUAAUUAAUAGAAUUUUUCAUUCUCUUCGACAAGAUAUUGGCUGCCCGCCUCUUCGGCAAAAUUGUGGUUCCAAAUAGGCAGAAUUCAACAAUAUAUGGUCAUUAAGUGUAGGGCUUCUAUUGUUCCUGUGGUCUCUCAUACAUCGCUUAAUUCAAGGUACAUUAUGAACUAAAUGGUGUAGUGGAGGAAGAAUGAUAUGAUAAUUGAAAUGCAAUUCUUGGCAAUUACUUAGUAAUCUUUUUAGAGUUUUUUAUUUUUAUUUUAUUCUUUGAUGAGGUUACAUUUAGGUGAAUUCCUUAAUUAUUUUGGUGAAGCUUUGUCUUCAAGAUCGGACAAUAAUGUAAAUAAAGUAUAGAUCUUUUCUAAUGGAAUAAGAGUUUUUAUUAUCAUUUAAUUUUGUUAGUGUUGUAAUUAUUUAUUUGUUAUGAACAUUAUAUAUUUACCUCGAUAAAUAAAAUAGUGCAGUGAUUCAAAUGGGAAA
Molecule: long non-coding RNA, 628 nt
Organism: Spinacia oleracea (spinach)
Lineage: Eukaryota; Viridiplantae; Streptophyta; Magnoliopsida; Caryophyllales; Amaranthaceae
Exons: 3
Source: RefSeq, a predicted model, not a curated record